GGUUCAUUCUUGCAUUUCUUGAGCUCCCAAACUUCCCAGGGCAGGGCCUUCAAUGGAACUUUGACAAUUUAUACCAGCUGAGGAUCUGCUUCAUAUUCAACUACAUAUGUACAUUGGGAGUCCAUGAGAGACUAUCAUUUGAUCCAGGCAUGCCAAAACAUGGAAAUCUCAUCUGUCUGUAAAAAAUACAAAAGACAUCCAGCCUUGAUCUGCAAAUGUCAAAUGACUGAGAAUGCACCGUAUCCCUGAGGAUGUCAGGGGUGCAGAGGAGUAUUUUGAACUAAAAUCUAGUCUAUUCUGUAUGAAGUCUUCAAAUCUGAAGGUUUGGAAAUGUGUUGAAUAUCAUCAGAUAGGCUUAGGCUGGAAGUGGAAAAAGAAAAAGCCACUUCUAAGUGACUACGUCCUAGAUCUGCAAAGAGGUGUUGAAGCUCCUGGGGAAGUCAGCAGUAGCUGUGGGUGUUCAACAGCUCAGAAGAUCAGGUCAACAAUAAAUAAAUAGACAACAUGGAUCAACCUGAGCAACAACAUGACUCCAUCUCCUUAGAUGUAAGAGGAGGAGGAGCACGUCAUCCAGUAAACUGACAACAACAAUUUGCUCCUAAAGAUGAAACUAAUGCUGCAGCUUUGCUUGCAAAACAUAUAUCAAGCUCCUUUUGGUAUUCAGCCUAUUAUUUAACUUGUUCACUAAGUAAACAGAUAUAACAUUUUGUCAUGAUCAACAUAAGUUUUAAAGAUGACUUAUGUGCAGAACCCACAUCUUUCCCCAUCUCAGCUCAGGGUUCCAAGGUUAAAUAUUUUAAUGACAUUUAUAUGUGCAUUUUAUUAUAUACAAUGCUCGUUAGAACUGGAGCGGUUUACUCUGCGCAGAUUAGUA
This is a long non-coding RNA of Mauremys reevesii (Reeves's turtle), 874 nucleotides long. RefSeq lists it as uncharacterized. The record is from RefSeq and is a predicted model, not a curated record. NCBI's taxonomy places the organism in Eukaryota, Metazoa, Chordata, Testudines, Geoemydidae. The transcript is spliced from 5 exons.